RNAcentral lists this ribosomal RNA (253 nucleotides) under uncultured bacterium. RNAcentral describes it as "partial 16S ribosomal RNA". It matches the Rfam family "Bacterial small subunit ribosomal RNA", at positions 524 to 776 of the family's 1533-position model. The record is from RNAcentral.
UACAGAGGGUGCAAGCGUUGUUCGGAAUUAUUGGGCGUAAAGCGCGUGUAGGCGGCUUUGCAAGUCGGGUGUGAAAUCCCUCAGCUUAACUGAGGAAGUGCGCCCGAAACUGCCGAGCUUGAGUACCGGAGAGGGUGGCGGAAUUCCCCAAGUAGAGGUGAAAUUCGUAGAUAUGGGGAGGAACACCGGUGGCGAAGGCGGCAACCUGGUCCUUGACUGACGCUGAGGCGCGAAAGCGUGGGGAGCAAACAGG